AACGCUAGCUACAGGCUUAACACAUGCAAGUCGAGGGGCAUCAGGAACAUAGCUUGCUAUGUUUGCUGGCGACCGGCGCACGGGUGCGUAACACGUAUCCAAUCUGCCCGUUACUCGGGGAUAGCCUUUCGAAAGAAAGAUUAAUACCCGAUAGUAUUAUUUAUAGGCAUCUAUUAAUAAUUAAAGAUUUAUCGGUAACGGAUGAGGAUGCGUAUGAUUAGUUAGUUGGCGGGGUAACGGCCCACCAAGACUACGAUCAUUAGGGGUUCUGAGAGGAAGGUCCCCCACACUGGAACUGAGACACGGUCCAGACUCCUACGGGAGGCAGCAGUGAGGAAUAUUGGUCAAUGGACGAGAGUCUGAACCAGCCAAGUAGCGUGAAGGAAGACUGCCCUAUGGGUUGUAAACUUCUUUUGUUUGGGAAUAAAGUUAGGUACGUGUACCUAUUUGUAUGUACCAUUCGAAUAAGCAUCGGCUAAUUCCGUGCCAGCAGCCGCGGUAAUACGGAAGAUGCGAGCGUUAUCCGGAUUUAUUGGGUUUAAAGGGAGCGUAGGCGGACUGUUAAGUCAGUGGUUAAAUGUCAAGGCCCAACCUUGUCAUGCCGUUGAAACUGGUGGUCUUGAAUACACACAAGGGAGAUGGAAUUCGUCGUGUAGCGGUGAAAUGCUUAGAUAUGACGAAGAACUCCGAUUGCGAAGGCAGUCUCCUGGGGUGCGAUUGACGCUGAGGCUCGAAAGUGCGGGUAUCAAACAGGAUUAGAUACCCUGGUAGUCCGCACAGUAAACGAUGAAUGCUGGUUCUUGGCGAUAUAUAGUCAGGAACUGAGGGAAACCAUUAAGCAUUCCACCUGGGGAGUACGCCGGCAACGGUGAAACUCAAAGGAAUUGACGGGGGCCCGCACAAGCGGAGGAACAUGUGGUUUAAUUCGAUGAUACGCGAGGAACCUUACCCGGGCUUGAAUUGCAGCUGCAUAGAGUAGAGAUACUCUUUCCCUUCGGGGCUGCUGUGAAGGUGCUGCAUGGUUGUCGUCAGCUCGUGCCGUGAGGUGUCGGCUUAAGUGC
RNAcentral lists this ribosomal RNA (1061 nucleotides) under uncultured Bacteroidales bacterium. RNAcentral describes it as "bacterial SSU rRNA". It matches the Rfam family "Bacterial small subunit ribosomal RNA", at positions 32 to 1087 of the family's 1533-position model. Lineage: Bacteria; Pseudomonadati; Bacteroidota; Bacteroidia; Bacteroidales. The record is from RNAcentral.